RNAcentral lists this ribosomal RNA (468 nucleotides) under uncultured bacterium. Its description in RNAcentral is "partial 16S ribosomal RNA". It matches the Rfam family "Bacterial small subunit ribosomal RNA", at positions 36 to 507 of the family's 1533-position model. The record is from RNAcentral.
UCCUCCCUCUUUCUUCGUGCUUAACACAUGCAAGUCGAACGGAAAGGCCCUGCUUUUGUGGGGUGCUCGAGUGGCGAACGGGUGAGUAACACGUGAGUAACCUGCCCUUGACUUUGGGAUAACUUCAGGAGACUGGGGCUAAUACCGGAUAGGAGCUCCUGCUGCAUGGUGGGGGUUGGAAAGUUUCGGCGGUUGGGGAUGGACUCGCGGCUUAUCAGCUUGUUGGUGGGGUAGUGGCUUACCAAGGCCUUGACGGGUAGCCGGCCUGAGAGGGUGACCGGCCACAUUGGGACUGAGAUACGGCCCAGACUCCUACGGGAGGCAGCAGUGGGGAAUAUUGCACAAUGGGCGGAAGCCUGAUGCAGCAACGCCGCGUGCGGGAUGACGGCCUUCGGGUUGUAAACCGCUUUCGCCUGUGACGAAGCGUGAGUGACGGUAAUGGGUAAAGAAGCACCGGCUAACUACGUG